CAAAAAUUGAUUUAUAGAAUAGUUAAAAUAAAGAUGGUAUCCUUCAGUUAAAUCUUGCGUUGGUUGUCCUUUAAUGAAGAUUUGUUCGUAAGCAAAAUAUAUGAAUUCGCUAGCAAGAUAUUGGCAUUCAUACCAACCCUUUUCUUUAUGUUAUAUCUCCAAAAUGAAUUGUUUACAACACUAAAUUGAAACAAAUCAAACACACUUUGUUCCUAUUAGGUGUAGUGGAAAAUGCAAUUCUAAACAAUGGCACUUUAUUUUUGAUUCUGUGCUGAACAAAUAAUUCAUAUUUAUAAACUGAAUGGUGCAUAAUUUUCUCUCUCUGUAAAAUUGAUACGGUAAGUUGAAAUUCAAGUAAAAUAUGUUUCCCGCAUAUUCAGCUACGAUUCUGGUAUAAAAGCUUCUAAUGCUCUUCGUAUAUAAACUGAGUUAUUCAUUAAAACCUAAGUGAUCUUUUAAGUUAUUGAAAUUAAAUCAUAUUGAAUUCCACACCCGAAGGUAAUGCUAUUCAACCAGCCAAGACGAAAAUACUUGGUUUGACAAUUUUUUUACUUUUAUGUAAUGAUUUUCUCUACUCCAUUAAGAAUUUGCGUAUGACUGUGUAUACUCAGCGCUGAUUCACAUAGUAAUAUAAAUCAUUACCUUGAUGAACUAC
Non-coding RNA from Schizosaccharomyces pombe (fission yeast), 655 nucleotides. The record is from the annotation of a GenBank genome assembly. NCBI's taxonomy places the organism in Eukaryota, Fungi, Ascomycota, Schizosaccharomycetes, Schizosaccharomycetales, Schizosaccharomycetaceae.